Molecule: transfer RNA, 48 nt
Filed under: Tetranychus kanzawai
Lineage: Eukaryota; Metazoa; Arthropoda; Arachnida; Trombidiformes; Tetranychidae
Also listed under: 1 other name
Description: tRNA-Gln
Source: RNAcentral
GUUUAAAUUUUUUUAAGUUUUUGAAACUUUUUAAUUUUUUUUCAAAAA